This 410-nucleotide ribosomal RNA is filed under the name uncultured soil bacterium. RNAcentral's name for it is "bacterial SSU rRNA". It matches the Rfam family "Bacterial small subunit ribosomal RNA", at positions 26 to 414 of the family's 1533-position model. The record is from RNAcentral.
AGAGUGAACGCUGGCGGUAGGCCUAACACAUGCAAGUCGAACGGCAGCACGGUAAGAGCUUGCUCUUAUGGGUGGCGAGUGGCGGACGGGUGAGGAAUACAUCGGAAUCUACCUUUUGGUGGGGGAUAACGUAGGGAAACUUACGCUAAUACCGCAUACGCCCUUCGGGGGAAAGCCGGGGACCAGCAAUGGCCUGGUGCUGAUAGAUGAGCCGAUGUCGGAUUAGCUAGUUGGUGAGGUAAUGGCUCACCAAGGCGACGAUCCGUAGCUGGUCUGAGAGGAUGAUCAGCCACACGUGGAACUGAGACGACCGGUCCAGGACUCCGUAACGGGAGGCAGCGAGGUGGGAAUAGUUGGAACAAGUGGGCGCAAGCCUGAUCCAGCCCAGUACCCGGCGUUCGGGUAGAAGG